Molecule: ribosomal RNA, 440 nt
Filed under: uncultured bacterium
Lineage: Bacteria
Description: partial 16S ribosomal RNA
Rfam family: Bacterial small subunit ribosomal RNA
Source: RNAcentral
CCUACGGGAGGCAGCAGUGGGGAAUAUUGCACAAUGGGGGAAACCCUGAUGCAGCGACGCCGCGUGAGUGAAGAAGUAUUUCGGUACGUAAAGCUCUAUCAGCAGGGAAGAAAAUGACGGUACCUGACUAAGAAGCCCCGGCUAACUACGUGCCAGCAGCCGCGGUAAUACGUAGGGGGCAAGCGUUAUCCGGAUUUACUGGGUGUAAAGGGAGCGUAGACGGCAGCGCAAGUCUGGAGUGAAAUCCCAUGGCUUAACCAUGGAACUGCUUUGGAAACUGUGCAGCUAGAGUGCAGGAGAGGUAAGCGGAAUUCCUAGUGUAGCGGUGAAAUGCGUAGAUAUUAGGAGGAACACCAGUGGCGAAGGCGGCUUACUGGACUGUAACUGACGUUGAGGCACGAAAGCGUGGGGAGCAAACAGGAUUAGAUACCCGAGUAGUC